Molecule: transfer RNA, 69 nt
Filed under: Craugastor noblei (Noble's robber frog)
Lineage: Eukaryota; Metazoa; Chordata; Amphibia; Anura; Craugastoridae
Description: tRNA-Ala
Source: RNAcentral
GAGACUUUAUUUUAAUUAAAAAAUCUGAGUUGCAUUCAGGAGAUGUGGAGUAGUGGUUCGCAAGUCUUU